Raphanus sativus (radish) is the source of this 370-nucleotide long non-coding RNA. RefSeq lists it as uncharacterized. The record is from RefSeq and is a predicted model, not a curated record. The transcript has 2 exons. NCBI's taxonomy places the organism in Eukaryota, Viridiplantae, Streptophyta, Magnoliopsida, Brassicales, Brassicaceae.
CGUAAAUUACUCACCUCUCGUUACACCGGGCAGCUAAUUAAUCUUUUUCUUGCAUUGUUCUGCAAAUAUCUUUUGAUUUUUGGUUUUCCAGCCAAUUUGGCCUAAAAAAAUUUGUUGGAGUUAAGAGCUUGCAUUCACUUAGAAAGAUGAUGAAGAUAGAGAGGUUAUUGAAGACGACCGCAAGCUCGUUGUGGAUCCUCCUCACCACUAAAAUGUUAGUAAUUGUAAAUGUAAACUAGAUUUUGUUCCGUGCUUUGAAAGUGCCGAUAUUUUUCUUUGCAAAUUUUAUAUAAAUGUGUGAAGACGCGGAUGUUGUUUGAGCCAAUCAAAAAAAUAUUUUUUUUUGUUUAUUACAGCUGAUUUGAUUUUA